This 1044-nucleotide ribosomal RNA is filed under the name Salmonella enterica subsp. enterica serovar Reading. RNAcentral's name for it is "partial 23S ribosomal RNA". It matches the Rfam family "Bacterial large subunit ribosomal RNA", at positions 1 to 1062 of the family's 2925-position model. The record is from RNAcentral. Lineage: Bacteria; Pseudomonadati; Pseudomonadota; Gammaproteobacteria; Enterobacterales; Enterobacteriaceae.
AAAGGUAAGCUACUAAGAGCGAAUGGUGGAUGCCUUGACUGGUAAAGGCGAUGAAGGACGUACUAGACUGCGAUAAGCUACGGGGAGCUGUCAAGAAGCUUUGAUCCGUAGAUUUCCGAAUGGGGCAACCCAAUGUAUAGAGAUAUACAUUACCUAUAUAGGAGCGAACGAGGGGAAUUGAAACAUCUUAGUACCCUCAGGAAAAGAAAUCAAUAGAGAUUGCGUCAGUAGCGGCGAGCGAAAGCGCAAGAGGGCAAACCCAGUGCUUGCACUGGGGGUUGUAGGACUGCAAUGUGCAAGAGCUGAGUUUAGCAGAACAUUCUGGAAAGUAUAGCCAUAGAGGGUGAUAGUCCCGUAUGCGAAAAACAAAGCUUAGCUAGCAGUAUCCUGAGUAGGGCGGGACACGAGGAAUCCUGUCUGAAUCCGGGUCGACCACGAUCCAACCCUAAAUACUAAUACCAGAUCGAUAGUGCACAAGUACCGUGAGGGAAAGGUGAAAAGAACUGAGGUGAUCAGAGUGAAAUAGAACCUGAAACCAUUUGCUUACAAUCAUUCAGAGCCCUAUGUAGCAAUACAGGGUGAUGGACUGCCUUUUGCAUAAUGAGCCUGCGAGUUGUGGUGUCUGGCAAGGUUAAGCAAACGCGAAGCCGUAGCGAAAGCGAGUCUGAAUAGGGCGCUUAGUCAGAUGCUGCAGACCCGAAACGAAGUGAUCUAUCCAUGAGCAAGUUGAAGCUAGUGUAAGAACUAGUGGAGGACUGAACCCAUAGGCGUUGAAAAGCCCCGGGAUGACUUGUGGAUAGGGGUGAAAGGCCAAUCAAACUUCGUGAUAGCUGGUUCUCUCCGAAAUAUAUUUAGGUAUAGCGUUGUGUCGUAAUAUAAGGGGGUAGAGCACUGAAUGGGCUAGGGCAUACACCAAUGUACCAAACCCUAUCAAACUCCGAAUACCUUAUAUGUAAUCACAGCAGUCAGGCGGCGAGUGAUAAAAUCCGUCGUCAAGAGGGAAACAACCCAGACUACCAGCUAAGGUCCCUAAAUCUUACUUAA